CCCGCUAUUCGGAGGUUCGAAUCCUUCCGUCCCAG
RNAcentral lists this transfer RNA (35 nucleotides) under Scrophularia catariifolia. Its description in RNAcentral is "partial tRNA-Gln". The record is from RNAcentral. RNAcentral also lists the same sequence under 2 other names. Lineage: Eukaryota; Viridiplantae; Streptophyta; Magnoliopsida; Lamiales; Scrophulariaceae.